Molecule: long non-coding RNA, 259 nt
Filed under: Elaeis guineensis (African oil palm)
Lineage: Eukaryota; Viridiplantae; Streptophyta; Magnoliopsida; Arecales; Arecaceae
Description: long non-coding RNA (EGUI_LNC054464)
Source: RNAcentral
GUGUUCUCUCUGAAUGAUGAAAUUAUCAUUCAUCAUAUGAUGACUUUAUUGUACUAUCUGAUGAUGAUUGGAUUGAUCGAGCCAUCCUCGGGCCUGAUCAUUCAUUAGUUAGAAACACUGACUAGGUUCAUAUUAAUGGUUGGACCUAACCGAAACUUUCAGUGGAGGCCCAUCGCUUACUGAAAUAAAAUUUGGGGCAGAAUUAAUUACUAAAAAUUAUUUAGAGAAAUAAUUGAUUGAGAACUUACCCAUAGAUGCA